UUUCAUAUUUGGCACUUUUAUGCUGAGGUUUUUACAAUGAUCGCAGCCCUUUCCAUUGUUACCUGGCUUGGCUUCUCUUGCUUCUGACACAACACUGUGCCAACAAUCUUAAGUUUCGGAUCUACUUCCGGUAUACGAACUCGCUGUCAUGGAAUGCCGAAUGCUCAGUUCUUUGUAUAACUUUCUUUGUUUUUUGGUGGAGUCGUGUAUGUAGGCGAAGCUUCAUGUAAAGGAAUAAUGGUUACAUUUUCAAAAAAAUGUUUCCCAAAACAGCUGAACCCAUCCAGUUUACAAAGACCAUUCAGAACAUAGUGGUGAGCGAAUACCAGUCUGCAACCUUUGAGUGCGAGGUAUCCUUUGAUGAUGCAGUCGUCACAUGGUAUAAAGGCAAAGUUGAACUCAGGGAGAGUCAAAAGUACAGUUUCAGAAGUGAAGGCCGUUGCCAUUACAUGACUAUCCACAACGUUACUGCAGAUGAUGAAGGUAAUGUUACACUAUUUGCUUCCUUCCCUUGCUGUCACCCCCCGUUGCUGACAAAAAUAAUGUCACAUAACAAAUUGCCUUUGUGAUUUCAGGGGUGUAUUCUGUCAUUGCUCGUCUUGAGCCAAGAGGUGAAGCAAGAAGCACUGCUGAACUUUAUCUGACUACUAAAGGUUAGUAAAUGCUUUCUUCAACUUAAAAAACAACAACACAGGACGUAAGAUGGAAGGGUGGAAAUGAUGUCCGCGAAGUGGAAAUAAUUUCAAAUGCAAAUCUACUUUCUUCUCUUGCAGAAAUUAAACUGGAAGUGAAGCCCCCAGAUAUCCCAGAUGCUAGAGUUGCAGUUCCUGUUGAAGUUCCAGCUGAAGGUAAGCCUUAUAUACAAAAGAGUCCGCUGUUAAGGGUGGGAGAGCAAGUGGUUUAGAACUUGUGUGCCGUAUGAGUGUUCAUUGAUUGAAUUUUCCCUUGCGUUUAUCAGAAACUCCUGCUCUUCCUCUCUUCCUUCUUAUGCCAGAAGAGAAGAAAAAGGAAAAAGUCGUUAAAAAGACAACCGUGCAGAAAGUCACCAAAAAGGUGGUUCCAAAAGCUCCAGAAGAAGUUGCCCCUCCUAAAGCUCCUGCAAAGAAACCUCAGGAAGUCAAAGUAACCACUGUAGCUAAGAAGAAAGAAGCAGUUUAUGAGAAGAAGGAAGAAGUAUAUGAGGUUCACAAAGAAGAAUAUGAAGAAUGGGAAGAGGAUUAUGGAGAGAAGCAUGAAUAUUAUGAACGAGAAGAAGGAUACGAUGAAGGAGAAGAGGAAUGGGCAUAUGGAGAAAGACAAGUAACUUAUGAGGAAAAGCAAAUUCGCAAAGAAGUUGUCCAGGUCCCAGGAAAGCCAGAACCACCUACGCGGAAACCACCAGAGAUUUCAGCCAAGAAAGUAGAGAAGAAAGUUGUGGUAGAAAAAGUUACACGGAAACCUGUAACCGAAGAGGUGGAAAGAAAGGCUAAAGUGAUGGAGGAAGAACAUCUCAAACGGGCCAGAGCUCCAGAAGCUCCACCACCAAAACCUGCACGAAAGGUGGUCCAUGAAGAAGUGGUAGAGAGAAAAGUACCAACAGAACAACAAUGGACCAUUUCAGAAGAAAAGGUGUCUGUUUCAUAUCACAGAGAAGAAGAAUAUACAUAUGGUUCAGAACCAGAAGAGUAUGAAGAGGACAGCUUCUAUGUGGAAUAUCCAGCUGAAGAACCAGAUGAGUACGAUGAGGAAAGGUUCUAUGUGGAAGCACCUGAAGUUCCACCUCCCAAAGGUAGAUUAUAUUAUUAUUAAUAUUAUUAUUAUUACUACUACUACAAUUUUAGUAUGUGAGUUUAUUUAAACCAGGGUUUCGCAAACUUAGGUCUUCAGCUGUUUUGGGACUACAAUUCCCAUCAGCCAUGACCACUGGUCCUGCUAGCUAGGGAUUAUGGGAGUUGUAGUCCAAAAACAGCUGGAGACCCAAGUUUUGGGAAACCCUGGUUUAAACUCUUAUCCAUUAAGAACUUGAUAUCUGCAGUUAUUUAUAUCCUUGUUGAUCAGAUUUGGGUGUUUAUGUAUUUUUACAUGUGUCACAAAAGCCUGUAAGUUUUAAAAAAUAUAAUGUGAGGGUGGCUCUGAUGACCACUAUCAUCUGAUUAACCCAAAAUUAAUAUCUUUAAAGUUCCUGAGGUGAGGAAGAGAGCAGAAGAAAAAGUUCCCAAGGAAGUGGAGGCCCCGCCGGCUAAAGGUGAAUAAUAUAUGUGCAAUAAUCACAAUAUCUCAGACAGGUCUCUAGCCUGCGUAUCUUCUAGAGGAUUGAUAAACACA
RNAcentral lists this long non-coding RNA (2304 nucleotides) under Podarcis muralis (Common wall lizard). RNAcentral's name for it is "lncRNA (ENSPMRG00000003270.1)". The record is from RNAcentral. Lineage: Eukaryota; Metazoa; Chordata; Lepidosauria; Squamata; Lacertidae.